Molecule: transfer RNA, 103 nt
Organism: Stereum hirsutum FP-91666 SS1
Lineage: Eukaryota; Fungi; Basidiomycota; Agaricomycetes; Russulales; Stereaceae
Rfam family: tRNA
About the family: Transfer RNA (tRNA) molecules are approximately 80 nucleotides in length. Their secondary structure includes four short double-helical elements and three loops (D, anti-codon, and T loops). Further hydrogen bonds mediate the characteristic L-shaped molecular structure. tRNAs have two regions of fundamental functional importance: the anti-codon, which is responsible for specific mRNA codon recognition, and the 3' end, to which the tRNAs corresponding amino acid is attached (by aminoacyl-tRNA synthetases). tRNAs cope with the degeneracy of the genetic code in two manners: having more than one tRNA (with a specific anti-codon) for a particular amino acid; and 'wobble' base-pairing, i.e. permitting non-standard base-pairing at the 3rd anti-codon position.
Source: Rfam
GGCCGCCUGGCGAAAUGGCAUCGCGUCUGACUACGAGAGGCGAGCGGAUCUUACCCAAUCGCAUGUAAUCAGGAGAUUGCAGGUUCGACCCCUGCGGUGGUCA